GUGCACGCUGGCGGUAGGCCUCACCCCUGCCAGUCGAACGGCAGCACAGUAAGAGCUUGCUCUUACGGGUGGCGAGUGGCGGACGGGUGAGGAAUACAUCGGAAUCUACUUUUUCGUGGGGGAUAACGUAGGGAAACUUACGCUAAUACCGCAUACGACCUACGGGUGAAAGCAGGGGAUCUUCGGACCUUGCGCGAUUGAAUGAGCCGAUGUCGGAUUAGCUAGUUGGCGGGGUAAAGGCCCACCAAGGCGACGAUCCGUAGCUGGUCUGAGAGGAUGAUCAGCCACACUGGAACUGAGACACGGUCCAGACUCCUACGGGAGGCAGCAGUGGGGAAUAUUGGACAAUGGGCGCAAGCCUGAUCCAGCCAUACCGCGUGGGUAAAGAAGGCCUUCGGGUUGUAAAGCCCUUUUGUUGGGAAAGAAAAGCAGCAGGUUAAUACCCCGCUGUUCUGACGGUACCCAAAGAAUAAGCACCGGCUAACUUCGUG
This 491-nucleotide ribosomal RNA is filed under the name uncultured bacterium. RNAcentral's name for it is "partial 16S ribosomal RNA". It matches the Rfam family "Bacterial small subunit ribosomal RNA", at positions 29 to 507 of the family's 1533-position model. The record is from RNAcentral.